RNAcentral lists this unclassified non-coding RNA (253 nucleotides) under uncultured Sphingobacteriaceae bacterium. Its description in RNAcentral is "contains 16S-23S intergenic spacer region". It matches the Rfam family "Bacterial small subunit ribosomal RNA", at positions 524 to 776 of the family's 1533-position model. Lineage: Bacteria; Pseudomonadati; Bacteroidota; Sphingobacteriia; Sphingobacteriales; Sphingobacteriaceae. The record is from RNAcentral.
UACGGAGGAUCCAAGCGUUAUCCGGAUUUAUUGGGCUUAAAGGGUGCGUAGGCGGCCUGUUAAGUCAGGGGUGAAAGACGGUAGCUCAACUAUCGCAGUGCCCUUGAUACUGAUGGGCUUGAAUACACUAGAGGUAGGCGGAAUGUGACAAGUAGCGGUGAAAUGCAUAGAUAUGUCACAGAACACCGAUUGCGAAGGCAGCUUACUAUGGUGUUAUUGACGCUGAGGCACGAAAGCGUGGGGAUCAAACAGG